RNAcentral lists this transfer RNA (75 nucleotides) under Candidatus Woesebacteria bacterium RIFCSPHIGHO2_01_FULL_39_28. RNAcentral describes it as "tRNA-Pro". It matches the Rfam family "tRNA". Rfam says of the family: Transfer RNA (tRNA) molecules are approximately 80 nucleotides in length. Lineage: Bacteria; Candidatus Woeseibacteriota. The record is from RNAcentral. RNAcentral also lists the same sequence under 2 other names.
CGGGGAGUAGUUCAACAGCAGAAUGCACGGUUCGGGACCGUGAGGUAGCAGGUGCGACUCCUGUCUCCCCGACUA